UAAGUGAGCUAAAAGCUGAACUAAUGAAAAGAGGCGCAUCGCUUAACGGAAGACGGGCAGAAUUAGUCGAAAGAUUGGAACUUUACGACCGGAAUUCCAAUUUUGGAAGUGCAGAGAAUCAGUCCAUUGACGAUGUGAUGGAAGUUCCUCAUGUUAGGACAUAUCGGGACAUAAAUGCUAGUUCAUUGUUACCUCAUGUAACCCAAACUUACAUACGACAGUAAUUUUGCUGUGAUGACAAGAAAUAAGUGAAGCUAAGGCAUUGUGUGAGUCCCGAUACCUACCUUGUUUUAGCAAGAGGAUUUGGAUUCAAAUAUGGGGGAAAAUACCUUUAUUAAAGGAUAUUGCAAAAAACUAUGAAGCAGCUGCAAUAUGAAGUAAAUUUAAAGCUUCACAAAAGUGGAAUAGCACAGGAAUCUAACUGUAAACAAGUUUUUGUUUCUUAUAACUAAACCAAGUUUAG
Molecule: long non-coding RNA, 463 nt
Organism: Aricia agestis (brown argus)
Lineage: Eukaryota; Metazoa; Arthropoda; Insecta; Lepidoptera; Lycaenidae
Exons: 3
Source: RefSeq, a predicted model, not a curated record